GCCAAGAUGGCCGAAUAGGAACAGCUCCGGUCUACAGCUCCCAGCGUGAGCGACGCAGAAGACGGGUGAUUUCUGCAUUUCCAUCUGAGUCACAUCCUGCUCAUUUUGACAAACGCAGAGUCAUGUACCCAUCACUACAAUCAAGUUACAGACCAUCUCCAUAACUCCAAAGAAUUCCCACACACUCCAUUGUAGCCCCACGGACAACCACCAGUCUGUGUUCUCUUCUGGUAGUUUUGCCUUUUUGAGACAGUCACAUAAAAUGGAACCACUUAGUAUAUAGCAUUUUGAGUUUGGUUGUUUUCACUUAACAUAAUAUAUUAAAGAUUUAUCCAUGUUGUUGCAUGUAUCAGUGGCUUAUUUCUUUUUCUUGCUAAAUAGUAUUACUUUGUAAGGAUGUAUACAAAUUGUUUAUCCAUUUACUUGCUGAUGAACAUACAGACUGUUUUCAGUUUUUGACAAUUCC
RNAcentral lists this long non-coding RNA (466 nucleotides) under Homo sapiens (human). Its description in RNAcentral is "HSALNT0018273". The record is from RNAcentral. Lineage: Eukaryota; Metazoa; Chordata; Mammalia; Primates; Hominidae.